CUGAGACACGAAAUUCGGUUCCUAUUUCCCCUGCUGCUAGAAGUCCAAGGACGCCAGCCAGUUCCGAGUCAAGCAAACAUGAUUCUAUGAAAAAGAAUUCUUUGAGAUCGUCUCAAUUGUCCAUUUCUUCAAUCUGGUAGUCUCUCAACAUCUCUUGACAUAAAUUCCAAUUUUUAUAUGAAGUAUGGGAGCUUUCAUUGAGAUAUAAUAAUAGGUUAUCAGAAUACUUAUAUGUAUGAUUAGCUCUUGAUAUUAUCUUAAGUUUGUUUCUACUCUUAUAUCAUUAUCAUUUUUACUAAAAUACAUGUCUUGUUUCAGAAACUUGACAUUCUUGAUUUUGUGAAGAGCUUAAAGAAGUUUGACAAAGUAAGUAUACUAAUUAAUAUGAAGUUCUGUAAGUAUUUAUAUAUUCUCAUAUUUCUGAAUUUUGAUACUAUUAUACAGUUAAGUUUUCAUCUAAAGAGCUAAUAAUUGAAAAAACCUCAAAUCAUUAGAAUUUAACACAAAAAACUGACUUCAUGGAGUACAUAAUAGAACUUACGAAGUUUGUCCCAAUCUCCAAAUAAGUUAUAGUCCAAGACAAAAAAUAAAUCACUAAAUCUUGCAACAUCUAUUCCUUCUCCUGCUUGAUACAAACUUUGGCUAUUUUUGUUGGCUUAGUGCAAGAAAAUUGGUCUAUUAGACUUCUUUUAAUGGAUCCAUCAUCAAUCCACUCAACCUCAUCUUCAAGCUUUGAUUCCGUAGCAACAGGAGUCUCUUCUCCAACUCUAUCCAUAACCUCAUUCGAACUCUCCAAUAUAGGAAAUGAAUCAGAUUGUUGGCUGUCCGAGCAGUUGGUAGAGUGCGUAGCAAUAAUUUUAGGAUCCGUUGCUAGAGUUGAGACACUAUAUGCCUUAUUAAAUGCCCAACCUUCCCCAAAAGGAACCUUAAUCUUGAACAUAAAUUUUUGUUGAAGUAGGGCAUGUUGAAUCUCUUUUGGAACAGCAAACUCCUUUAAGAUAAAAAAGAAAAUGCACACAUUAAUACACCUUAACAUGUAUUUACGUAAAAUAUUACUUGUAUUGGUUUUUGAAGUAAAAAGAAAAUAAAAAAAUGUACCUCUAUUCCUUCAACAUUAACUUCUGCGGCUGAUUUUCCUAUUACUUGCUUACUCUCCCUAUCCCAUAGUACAAAAGGUGAACUGCUAGAGUCGUCUGCAACAUUUAUUAUCAACUUAUACUUCAUUUCUCCCGACUCGCUAAAGUUGCUGCAAUACUUGCAAUAGAAUUGCUUCUCUAAUUUCUCAAGUUUCCUAAAGCACUUUUUGCAAGAUAUAUAAAACCAACCCCUUUCUUCGUCAAUGUUAACUACAGUACCACAUAUCCAAAAGCUUCCACCCUGUUAAUAUAACACAAAGUAUUUAACACAUAUAAAAUAUUCAGUUUAGAGAUAUUGUAUGUCUUUAAUUGUACCUCUGAAUUCUCACAAAGGUCUUUUAUGCUUGUCACGGUGACUCCGGCUGCAAGCUCAUCAAUAACAGUUGAACUUAUUGCUUGUGAAGUACUUGAGAUAACCGUAGUGCUUAAGCCGGAGUGAAUAAGCCUUGAAAUCAAACAUGGUCAACAAUCAGAAAAAUGUAUAUAUAUACACACACACAUUAAAAGAUGAAUAUGUCUUCAAACAAUAAAUGGUUUGACAUCAAACAAUUAGUUAAAUAAAACAUACCUCUCCUUGAACUUAUGUAUGUCACGUAUAUCUUCGUUCAACAAAAUUUUAGUAACUUGGUACCCAUUUUGCACUUUUACAACACAUGUGAGUUUAAAUAAUAAUAAUAAUAAUGAAGUUGCAAUAUAGCCUAAUAGAUAUUAGAAGCACAAAAGGUUAAAUUCGAUUAAGACUACUUUAUUUAUCUCUAAAAACAUGUUCUCAAAAUUAAUAGAAGAAAUCAUAUUAUUAUAUUCCUAAUCACACUUUGUUUUUAGAUGUGUUCAUCUCUAAACACAUGUUCUGAAAAUUGAUUAAAGAAAUUAUAUUUGAAACAUAAAUUGAAGUAUGAUUGUCACUACAUAAGUUGAAAAUAAUUAAAUAAGUAAAGCUAUUGACUCAAACAAAAUAAAGUUAAGUUCAAAUUUUUAAGUGCCAACAUUGUACUUACCUUGAAACAUACUUAGCCUGCAAAACUGUAACACAAUAAUGUUGACAUCCAUUUGACGUUCUUCAUAUUGUUUCAUGAAAAUAUCAACAUAAUUCUCCCACAAAGUGCAAGACAUUCUCUUUCCCCUUUGAAACAGUAUUAUAUAAUAUAGUAAGAACAACAAUAAUUUAGUUUUAAUAAUAAAGAAGUAGCGACAAAAAUGUACAUAAAUACUCACUCGGUAUCUUCUAGAAUAAGAUCCAAUAUUUUUUUUUCUUUACCAUCUCGAGUUGUCAGUUUUGUUGGAUUAGGCCGGGAGGCAAUUCUGCCUAUAACAUCUGCACAUGUCACGUUGAUGGGACUAAGAUUUUGUAGUGUAUGUAAAUAUAUGAAAAAAAUAUAAAAAUAUUUUAUCAUUACCAAUUGGAAGAGCAUCUGCAAUGUUUUCAGUGGCUUGAAUAUCAUCAAAUGACUUGAAUGCAUAAAUGAUAUUAGGAAAAGUUGGAUUAGCUUCAACUCUCACUUCCGUGUUUCCAUAAAAAGUUGCUUUAUAUUUAUUCGAAGUAACUCUAAACUUUGAUUGAUUAUGUGUAACACCGAAGUUACGUAUAGCAUAAAGUCCUCCUUCUUGAAACUUAGAGAUGAACUUAGAUGCUAUAAGUUUUGGUGCUGUGAAAUGGUACCUAGUUCCCUGCAAUUUGAACAUUUUAACAUGUGUAAGCUCUCUUAAACGUUUAGGAGUGCUAAAAAAAUCUUAUUGUAACAACUAUAAUGUAAUAUAAACAUUAUCCUUCUUAAAAUACUAUAGUGACAAUGACAUUAUGAAUCUGCAACCAUUUUUUGUUAUUAGAUUUGCUUACCAAUUGGAGAAUUUGAACUCUUUGGAUCAAAAUGGAUUAGAAUACAUGAGGGUUUUGAAAAAAAAAACUGUAUUUUUUUAGAGAGCACAACUAAAGAAUUUUAAUAUACUCUUAAGUCUUAACUGCUAAUAUUUGUUUGUAUAUAUCCAACGACUAAUUAAUCAUAUGAGUUUGGUAGAGCUCAGAGCAAAGCCAUCUGGGCGCCAGAGCAGAGCCCAUCUGGGCCAGAGUAGAGAGAGCUCGAUGCCAGAGCAGAUCCCAUCUGGGCGCCAGAGCAGAGCCCAUCUGGGCGCCAGAGCAGAGCCCAUCUGGGCCAGAGCAGAGAGAGCUCGAUGUCAAAGCAGAUCCCAUCUGGGCGCCAGAGCAGAGUCCAUCUGGGCGCCAGAGCAGAGAGAGCUCGGUGCCAGCUCUGGGCGCCAGAGCAGAGCCCAUCUGGGCGCCAGAGCAGAGAGAGCUGUGUGACUUAUAUGACCAAUUUUUGAAAAUGAGGCCUGUUGCAAUAUCAGCAAACUUAUAGGUAUGAUCAUCUCUUGAUAAUAUCUUAAGUUUGUUUAUAAUCAUUAGAAUUUAUAUCUUACGGAUUCUGUCCCAAUCUCAAAAUAAGCAUAAAAAACUAUUUAGCUCAUCAUUUUUGGUUGAAGGCAUGCUAUAACAUCUUAUAAGCAUAAAAACUAUUUAGUAAGCAUAAAAAACUAUUUAGCUCAUCAUUUUUGGUUGAAGGCAUGCUAUAACAUCUUAUAAAACUUUGAUAUAUAAAUCAUACCUCUAUAUCAUGGAAUAUGCAUUCAAAACUAUUUAGCUCUUCAUUUUUGGUUGAAGGCAUGCCAUAACAUCUUAUCAAUCUCGCUUUAACUGCAGGUGACAUUGCCAAAGGGCGAAGCUCGUUGAAGAGUGACCACAUUCCGACCAUCAGUGUUUUUGAACACAAUGAAUCUACAACCAUUUUUAGUUAUUAGAUAUUGAAACUGUAGCAGCUAUAAUGUAAUAUAUAAACAUUACAUCUCUUAAAAUACUACACUAACAAUGACAUUAUAUGAAUCUGCAACAACUUUUAACUAUUAGAUUUGCUUACCAACUGGAGGAUUUCAACUCUAGGUUUGAAUGUAGAAUGCAAGAGGCUGUUGAAAAAAUUUGUAUAUGCCUUAUGUUCUAUAUAUAUGAUUUGUUAGUAUUGGAUUUUAAAAAAUUCAGGCAGGUGUUUUGGGCAUUUCAAUCGGCGGCAGAAUGCGAAUGGACACAUUUAUCUUUUUUUGAUUAUGAAGGUUAUAUAUUACAUUAUGUUAUAUGUUAUUAUAUUUGAUUGGAAGAGCAUCGAGUUGAGUGUUUGCAUGUCAGAAAAAGUGGGCUGCGCCCUUUUGAAGUGUUUGCAUUUCAAUUUGGAGUGUUUGCAUGUUAUUAUAUUCUCAAGGUUUAAAGCAGCAUGCAUGCGCUGCUUUUUAGUGUUUGCAUGUCAGAAAAAGUGGGUGGGAAAAUGAAGUUAAUUAAUAUAACUAAUAAGUAAUAAAAUAUUAUUUAUAAUAAAGUAAUAAUUUUUGCAUGGAAGAUGUGUUUUUGGCGGGAAGUUUUCAUGCAGAAAGUCUCCACCAAAAACAAUUGUUUUACUUCCAAAUGGAACGUCAUAGCUAUGAGGGCAGGAAAAAUGCAUUAUAUCACGCAGAGUUUUAUCCAAUGCUUCAAAACAAAAUUUAUGCAUCAUAGGUGCCUCAUCCCAAAUGAUAAGUUUUGCUCUUAUUAUGAGAUUAGCAAGAUCACUGCCUUGUUUUAUAUCGCACGUUGAGUCUUCAUUUGCAUUGAUUGGAAUUUUGAAGCGUGAAUGUGCUGUUCUUCCGCCAGGCAACAAAAGAGAAGCUAUUCCACUUGAAGCAACAUUUAUAACAAUAUCACCUUUUGAACGUAGUGCGGCAGAUAAUCCCUUCCAAAUAAAAGUUUUACCAGUACCUCCAUAACCAUAUAGAAAGAACAUUCCGCCAGAAUUCGAGUUCACUGCACUUAAUACUUUAUCAUGGACAUGACGUUGCUCAUCUGUACACUUUUGCAAGAACUCUCGAUACUCCUCUUCAAGGGCAACGCGAUCAUACUGUAGCUCAUCAAUAAUCAAUCUAUUUUGAUUCAUUUGAAAUACAUCCUCAUUUGGAAAUGGCAUGCUUGAAAAAUCACGCAAACUCCUACCCAAACUACGCAACAACUUCUCAAUCUCGAUCAAAGCACAAUUUUUUAUCUCAUCCUCAGUAAGUAGUAAAUCUGAGAUAUUAUUUUUAAGAAAAUUAAAAUCUAAAGAAUAUACGAUGCAUGAUAAAAUCGUGUAAAAAGUAUAUAUAUAUAUAUAUAUAUAUAUAUAUAUAUAUAUAUAUAUAUACAUAAUUCUUCGAUUGUACAAAAUGUCAUCUGAAAGACAACUCCAACAAUUAUCCCAAACAUUUUCUGGUCUAGCAAGAGAAUCUGAGGCUAAUAAAGUUGACAAAAAGAUUUCUUAAAGAACUUGAUGAUGCCCAUUGACUUGCUUCAUUUAUUCCAUCAAUGUACUCAUUGUCGUCGUCUAAAAGUCCCAAAGCAUAGCAAGCAUCUCGAAAUGUAGCAUAUUGAACUCCAUUUAUAGAUCUUAUGUCUUCAUAACAUCUUGGUCCACGAGCAACAUUAAGUAGGCAUCUUUCAUAGUAUAACUCUCCAGAACCAGGAUGAAUGUAGCUUAAUCUUCCAAUUGCAUAUCUCAUUUUUCUUGGCUGCCAUUCUCUUUUCUUUUUUUCCAAACAAAUUUGGUUGGAAACUCAGCGUAAGUUAGCUGUCUUGCUUCUGGAUAUUUCUUAUUUGCUUCAAACCAAGCCAAAAACAUACUCUGAUUAACAGUGGGACGAUCAAGUACAACUUCUAAUGGAUCAGAGUCUGUAAAUAUCACACUUUGUUCACCUGGAAGAUGAAAGCCCAAUCGCUCAACAGCAGGAUCUCUAUAUUGAAUAUCAAACUUAAAUAUUCUCCAUGCUGCUUCACAAGGUGAUAUGUAUCUACAAUCAUAGUACAUCUUCACUUCAUCACAAUUUUUUUGAACUUCAUCCUCUUUAGUACUUUCAUUAGAAAGCUGCUGUCACUCGAUCAUGGCCUUUAUUUAUAUACUUGAACAAAUACUUGAUUGAUCUUGAUUGAUUGCACCAUUCAACUAUUUAUAUGUGCACCAUACUUCAUAAGAAUAUAUUUAUUAUGAGGUACCACAUAUCUGUUAUCCAAUACAACACCACUUUUUCCACAAACCUGCCAUUGUCUCGACGUCUAUAUACGGGAUAUCCUUCUUCAUCAACAGAAGUUAUCUCAAUAAACUUCUUUGGAAAAUAUUUGGUGCACCGACCAUUAGACAUGCACGGAGAAUUUUUCUUGGCUGCUCCACAAGGACCAUGCAUCAUAAAAUCUUGCACUGAUUUGUAAUAAUGCCCAUCAAUUUUUGGAUCUGGAAUUUCUGCUGAGAUAACACUAUCAAUGUGCUCGGGUGUUGGAUGCUUAUCUUCUUUGCUCAAAAAUAAUAAGAUGUGAGUAUGAGGUAGUCCACGCUUCUGAAAUUCAACUGUGUAUACAACUACAUAAUAUGAUUAAAAUUAGUAAAUGAUAUACAUAAAAUAUUAUUUAGAGGAUAUUAAUUCAAAAUACAUAAUAUUGCAUUUUACCUGCUCUAACAGUGCCAAAUAUUUUAUUCUUUCGAAAGUCCUUUAUCANGAUUGGAAGAGCAUCGAGUUGAGUGUUUGCAUGUCAGAAAAAGUGGGCUGCGCCCUUUUGAAGUGUUUGCAUUUCAAUUUGGAGUGUUUGCAUGUUAUUAUAUUCUCAAGGUUUAAAGCAGCAUGCAUGCGCUGCUUUUUAGUGUUUGCAUGUCAGAAAAAGUGGGUGGGAAAAUGAAGUUAAUUAAUAUAACUAAUAAGUAAUAAAAU
This 6881-nucleotide long non-coding RNA is filed under the name Salvia miltiorrhiza (redroot sage). RNAcentral's name for it is "long non-coding RNA (SMIL_LNC000472)". Lineage: Eukaryota; Viridiplantae; Streptophyta; Magnoliopsida; Lamiales; Lamiaceae. The record is from RNAcentral.